Molecule: ribosomal RNA, 254 nt
Filed under: uncultured bacterium
Lineage: Bacteria
Description: partial 16S ribosomal RNA
Rfam family: Bacterial small subunit ribosomal RNA
Source: RNAcentral
UACAGAGGGGGCAAGCGUUAUUCGGAAUUAUUGGGCGUAAAGGGCGCGUAGGCGGCCUGGCAAGUGGAAGGUGAAAUCCCUCGGCUUAACCGAGGAACUGCCCUCCAAACUGCUUGGCUUGAGUCCGGGAGAGGUGAGUGGAAUUCCCAGUGUAGCGGUGAAAUGCGUAGAUAUCGAGAGGAACACCUGCGGCGAAGGCGGGUUGCUGGGCUGACACUGACGCUGACAGCGCGAAAGCUAGGGGAGCGAACGGG